Odontomachus brunneus is the source of this 1131-nucleotide long non-coding RNA. RefSeq lists it as uncharacterized. The record is from RefSeq and is a predicted model, not a curated record. Lineage: Eukaryota; Metazoa; Arthropoda; Insecta; Hymenoptera; Formicidae. The transcript is spliced from 3 exons.
UUAAUUAUUUUCUCGGAGAAAACGAAUUAGUCAGAAUUAGCUAGAAGUUGCUCUUGAAAAUUUCUUCAGUUAAUCAUCGAUUAAUAUUAUAUAACCUAAUAUUGAUAGUUAUCAUCUGAUAUAAGAUCAUCAACAAAUAAUCGAAAGAAUUGCAACAUUGAUUUCCAGUUAUGUAAUUUCUCGUGCAAUAAUGGUUGUGUUCGGGGAGACGCUAUUUAGCGCUAUGAGCGUCCUCUGUCCUUGUUCAACUUUCAGGAACAAACAAGGACAGAGCACACUCAUAGCGUUAAAUAACGUCUCCUCAAACGCAACUAAUAUAACAGAUCGACAAUUUAUGGUAAAACAGAGCAAGGGCUACAUUUUUGACACACAACCGAACACUGAUCUCAGCCGUCACGUCGAGCACUUGAGGCACUUUGGCAUCCUUCGCGCUUUGAUUUCGGCUUCUCUUGACUGCCGUUUCAACGCUGAAAGAAGAAUCGAUCAAGACUGAUUUACACACCGCAUCUCCAACAUCUCAGCUGUUAGAUCUAUACUCACUUAUCGUCGUAGAACCGAUGUUUAUUGGCUCCAGUUUCAGGCUCUGCAUCUCUCUCAACGCCAUCGCGUGAAAAGAUAACGCUGCUACACGUGUGAAUAAUGCGGGCACGCCGUUGCCUGUCCUCGAGGAAACCGACCAGUAUUCUGCUCGCAUUCUAUUUGCCGUUUCUGCCGCCCGCCUCUCUAUUAUAUCGUAUACCGGUUGAGACUGUCAUUCCAUAAAGAUGUUAGGAGAGUAUUUAGAAAGGGAGGAGAAACUGAAAAAAGAUGGAGUCGACCUUUACCAGUAAAUCUUUCUUAGUUCCCACCAGGAAAAUGUGAUAAGGACCAACGUUGCUGCGACUUGCUUCAUUCAACCACUGCUGACAGUGCGUCAGGGACAUCAAGUUUCCCAGAUCGAAGACGACCAUGAUUACUGAAAUACAUAAUUAUGCAGUAAUUUAUUAGAUAUCUCUGGGAUUGAUUUUGUUACAUUUGCAAGUGGAAAGGCACGCCAAGAAUGUCAAAUCUCUCAACUUCGAAGUCCACGCCGAUAGUAGCCUUGUAAUUGUUAUCGAAGAGCUUGUGGCAGAACCUGUUCACUAAUGCUGU